UAUUUUAUUCAUGUUUGUGGGUGUAAUUUCGUCCAGUUGCAGAUACUACUAUCCUUUUUGGAAUGAUCUGCCUUUGAAAAACAAUGGUUCUAUCUGACAAAAGCGAACAGAUCCUGUAGUUGUAAUUGAUACACUAAAUCAGUGUUUCUCAACCUUUUUUUAGGCGAGGCACCCUUUCAAUUCAUGGAAAUUUCAAGGCACCCCAAACCAAGUAGCCAUAUAGCAUCACAUCCGAUACCACACAAGCUUAGAAUGUAACACAUUAGGAGACACACAACCUAGUAGCACGACCUACGUUCAAAGUUACAGCUGGGGUGACCAAUAUUUACUUUAUUGUGCGUAAAUGGCAGAUCAUAGAUUCCACUGACUAACAUUAACUUAUCAAUUUUGACAAAUAUGUUUUAUGUUAUAUAAUUUAUUUAUCAGCCACGUUUCCGCGGCACCCCUGAGGGGGCCCUACGGCACCCCAGGGUGCCCCGGCACCCCUGUUGAGAAACACUGCACUACAUUAUGAUAUUCCUAUGUGUGCGCGCGCACGCGCCAAGUUUUCAAUUCAACACACUGGGACACUUUUCAGUCUUUGAGGUUGCUGGAAUCAACACAGACUACCUCCAUGCACCUUAUCAGAACACUUUGCAUGUUUUUGUAUACUUGUCCCCUUUGUGUAUUGCUGCUAAUCUUUCUCUUUCUAGGUUCUGUUGGUUGCAUGCAGAUUGUGCCAGAUGAUUUAUCUGUCUAUGGUCUAAGCAUGGGCUCUGUGCUAAUAUGCAAUUUGUGCUCUUUUUUCCCUCAGGUCAACAGCCGACAGGGUCCUUCCACAACCACAUACUUAUGCCAGUAAAAGCCACAGCUUUUCUCCUCCAAUCCAAGAAGCCUGGACUGCAGUCACCAUCUCAACACACCAACCAAGAGAAAGGCGGAUGGCUCAAUUCAAUAUGGAAAAUUGCACAAUAAAAGUUCCAGGACAUGAAGGCUGCGUACUGUGAACGUCAACCUUCAGGGCACCGUCCUGCGCAGAAGACUUUCUACCCAAAGAGGGAUGGCUGACCGCAGACACUCACAACCAGCACAGACGCCUCCAACCUCAAACCAGGCCCUUCACAGUUGCUGCACUUACCCACCUUCCCAGAGUUUUUGUGUGGUAAUGACAACUGUAAAUAUAGUAUAAAGUAAUGUAUCUAGUGUCAUGUGUUUAAAUUGUCCAUACAUUUCAAUGACA
Long non-coding RNA from Engraulis encrasicolus (European anchovy), 1219 nucleotides. RefSeq lists it as uncharacterized. The record is from RefSeq and is a predicted model, not a curated record. The transcript is spliced from 3 exons. NCBI's taxonomy places the organism in Eukaryota, Metazoa, Chordata, Actinopteri, Clupeiformes, Engraulidae.